UACGGAGGGGGCUAGCGUUGUUCGGAAUUACUGGGCGUAAAGCGCACGUAGGCGGAUCUGCAAGUCGGGGGUGAAAUCCCGAGGCUCAACCUCGGAACUGCCUUCGAUACUGCGGGUCUCGAGUCCGGGAGAGGUGAGUGGAAUUCCUAGUGUAGAGGUGAAAUUCGUAGAUAUUAGGAAGAACACCAGUGGCGAAGGCGGCUCACUGGCCCGGUACUGACGCUGAGGCGCGAAAGCGUGGGGAGCAAACAGG
Molecule: ribosomal RNA, 253 nt
Filed under: uncultured bacterium
Lineage: Bacteria
Description: partial 16S ribosomal RNA
Rfam family: Bacterial small subunit ribosomal RNA
Source: RNAcentral